Molecule: ribosomal RNA, 253 nt
Filed under: uncultured bacterium
Lineage: Bacteria
Description: partial 16S ribosomal RNA
Rfam family: Bacterial small subunit ribosomal RNA
Source: RNAcentral
UACGUAGGGUGCGAGCGUUAAUCGGAAUUACUGGGCGUAAAGCGUGCGCAGGCGGUUUUGUAAGCCAGAUGUGAAAUCCCCGGGCUUAACCUGGGAAUGGCAUUUGGGACUGCAAGGCUCGAGUGCGGCAGAGGAGACUGGAAUUCCUGGUGUAGCAGUGAAAUGCGUAGAUAUCAGGAGGAAUACCGAUGGCGAAGGCAGGUCUCUGGGCCAAUACUGACGCUCAUGCACGAAAGCGUGGGGAGCAAACAGG